RNAcentral lists this non-coding RNA (296 nucleotides) under Aeromonas salmonicida subsp. pectinolytica 34mel. Lineage: Bacteria; Pseudomonadati; Pseudomonadota; Gammaproteobacteria; Aeromonadales; Aeromonadaceae. The record is from RNAcentral.
GCCGGAUGCGAGCAGGACAGCUUCAGGAUGAAGCGAGAUAGCCCGGAUGGUUAUCUGUCAGGAUGACGCAAGGAACACCACAGGAUGUGGUAAGGGACACCUCCAGGAUGGAGAGAGUGCAGCAAUCAGGAACGAUUGAUUGCCAGACCAGGAUGGUCACAGGACACCUCAACGGAUUGGGAAGGGGAUAUUCCGAAGGAUCAGGAUAAAGUCAGGGAUCGCAGGGAGCAUUGCAGUUCAUGGACUGGACUAGAUGACUUGAGGGGACGGCAACUGCCGUCCCCUUUUCUUUAUGU